GAAUAUUUUGGAAAUUUAAUUUAUGAAAUAUAAUUGAUUCCUUUAGCAAUAUUUGAUAUUAAUGAGUCAUUUUUGAAUAGAUACGAGUGGUUUAGAGGUGAAUUCCAAAGGAAAAGCUGUGAUUGAGAAUUAAGUGGCCUUCGGAGCGAGGUAAGUGUUGUGUCUAACUUUGGCUUGAGGGAAUAGGUAUUGUGUGAGUAUUUUCUACGUGUUUUGUUGUUGAAUACGACGUAUAGUUGAGAUGACGAGCAUCUAUACGUUGUGGUCGAGUCAUAGUAUGCGAGUGAAGUUCCAUUUCUUGUAAAUUGUAGUCUUAAAUCUUGUUAUCCAUGCUUAUUGUUGUUGUUGAAAUGUUGGGAGACUUGUAUCUGGUUCCACCAAGGUCAAUAAUAUUGUGAAUAUUGAUUCGAGGUCGAGAUGUUAAAUUGUGAAAGUAAUCAUUGAUGAAAUAUUGAUUUCUUAUGAAACUUCUCUUUAUCCGUUGUUAUUGAUUCUAUGAAUUGUGAGGAAGAGUGUAAAGCACGAAAGAUGAUGCCGUGCAUAAUUUAAUUAUAUUGUGAGUAAGAGUGUAAAGAACGAAGGGUGAUGUCGUGCAUAAUUUAAUUAUAUUGUGAGGAAGAGUGUAAAGCACGAAGGGUGAUGUCGUGCAUAAUUUAAUUAUAUUGUGAGAAAUUUUAAAGUGUUCUUGAGAAUUUUAUUUGAUUUGGCGCUAAAUUUAGAGUUCUAGGUGUUAUUUUGGCGAUUUGAUCACGCGAGUAGGUUUGUAUGAUGUUUUUAGACUUACGUGCAUGUUUGGUUUGGAGCCCCGAGGGCUCGGGUGCCAUUCGGGCGAUGCGCGAGUUGAGUUUAAACCUCAACAAGGCUGCUGUUGCACCAAAUUCGGUGUGCCCGCACCUGCGAGCCUUUGGUCGCAGGUGCGAGCGAUAGCCCCGCAGAUGCGACCCAGGCCUCGACUUUAUUUUUUCGCAGAUGCGAACUUUUCUCCGCAGGAGCGGGACCGCAGAAGCGGAACCCUGUCCGCAGGUGCGGCCCCAGUUGGCCCAAUCCUUUUCCGCCGAAGCGCACAUCCUGUGCGCAGGUGCGACCAAAGCACCGCAGGUGCGAAGGUCGCUGGGCAGUGAGCAUUUAAUUCGGAUCCAGCCAUUUUUCUUCUUGUUUUCAAAAGGAUAGGAGGCAUAUGGCAAUUUUUCAAAGACAUUUUCUUUCCCAAAUCAUAGGUAAGUGUUCCUUAACUCGUUUCUUUCAAUCUUUUACUUCAUUUUACUAGAAUUCAACCUAAAAUCUAGAGUUUUCAUAUUCGGGCCCAUUUGGGAAUUUAGACCUCCAUUUGAGGUCGGAUUCCAAAACUAAUUACAUAUUCGGGCUCGGGGGUGAAUGGGUAAGAGGAUUUUGGUCUGAACCUCGGGUUUUGACCAAGCGGGCCCGGGGUCGAUUUUUUCGACUUUUGGAGAAAAAUUUUGAAAAUUUAAUUUAUGAAAUAUAAUUGAUUCUUUUAGCAAUAUUUGAUAUUAAUGAGUCAUUUUUGAAUAGAUACGAGUGGUUUAGAGGUGAAUUCCAAAGGAAAGGCUGUGAUUGAGAAUUAAGUGGCCUUCGGAGCGAGGUAAGUGUUGUGUCUAACUUUGGCUUGAGGGAAUAGGUAUUGUGCGAGUAUUUGCUACGUGUUUUGUUGU
This 1670-nucleotide long non-coding RNA is filed under the name Nicotiana tabacum (common tobacco). Its description in RNAcentral is "long non-coding RNA (NTAB_LNC012262)". Lineage: Eukaryota; Viridiplantae; Streptophyta; Magnoliopsida; Solanales; Solanaceae. The record is from RNAcentral.